This is a long non-coding RNA of Triticum aestivum (bread wheat), 797 nucleotides long. RefSeq lists it as uncharacterized. The record is from RefSeq and is a predicted model, not a curated record. Lineage: Eukaryota; Viridiplantae; Streptophyta; Magnoliopsida; Poales; Poaceae. The transcript is spliced from 2 exons.
UGACUGCAGGCGGUUGCACGUGCAGGCACAAGCAGGAGACGUCAAUGUUGUUUCUCAAAGCCAAGGCAAAAAUCCUCUCACCCCUCUCUCACGGCUCACUCUCCCUCUCUCCAUAGUGACACACUCUCUCUCUCACCGGCGGCAGCGAGCACCGGCUUCAUCAACGCUUCAUCACCCCUUCGUCAAUGGUGCGCUGUCGGGAAGCUCGUGCUCGACAAUGUUGCUGAGGGCAACUGCUCGAAGAGCAUGGUGGUCGUAAAGGCAACUGCUCGAAGGGCAAUCAGGUGCCAUAUGCGUCUAGUCAGGCCGAAAAAUUACUACCAUUUUCAUGAGGACGUGGGUCCAACACACUUCUACAAGGUAAUCCUAGUAUAUGUGUUGGAGUUACUGCUGAUCCCCAAUGGCUUCUGUAAGCACAUGACCAACAUCCCACUAGAAGUCGUUCUUAAGAUGAACACCGGCUGCAAGUGGAGGGUCACGCUCCAGAGGGUCAAUCGUAAGAUAGCCCUUGAUAAAGGAUGGGCUGGAUUUGCCAUAGCUCAUCAUAUUCAGAUUGAUUACCUCGUCGUGUUCAAGGUGUUGAUUGUGGACACCUUCAAGAUGAUCGUAUUUGACAUUUUUGGCGCUGAGGCGGAAGGCAAGUGCAAGAAGCACCAUGAAGCACUUGCCUUGUUCUGGGAAGUUUAAUGUGUUUUCCUUAUUUUGUCUACCUGCGUGGUCAAUAUGAAUGUCUGAUUAAGACUUGUUAAUGACUUAAUGUAGUACCCAUAAUGUAGUGCAAAUGGUUGUGUUUUUUC